Molecule: ribosomal RNA, 448 nt
Filed under: uncultured bacterium
Lineage: Bacteria
Description: bacterial SSU rRNA
Rfam family: Bacterial small subunit ribosomal RNA
Source: RNAcentral
GGCCAGACUCCUACGGGAGGCAGCAGUGGGGAAUAUUGCACAAUGGGGGAAACCCUGAUGCAGCGACGCCGCGUGAGUGAAGAAGUAUUUCGGUAUGUAAAGCUCUAUCAGCAGGAAAGAAAAUGACGGUACCUGACUAAGAAGCCCCGGCUAACUACGUGCCAGCAGCCGCGGUAAUACGUAGGGGGCAAGCGUUAUCCGGAUUUACUGGGUGUAAAGGGAGCGUAGACGGUGAAGCAAGUCUGAAGUGAAAGGCGGGGGCUCAACCCCCGGACUGCUUUGGAAACUGUUUGACUGGAGUGCAGGAGAGGUAAGUGGAAUUCCUAGUGUAGCGGUGAAAUGCGUAGAUAUUAGGAGGAACACCAGUGGCGAAGGCGGCUUACUGGGCUGUAACUGACGUUGAGGCUCGAAAGCGUGGGGAGCAAACAGGAUUAGAUACCCUAGUAAC